Molecule: ribosomal RNA, 344 nt
Filed under: Escherichia coli
Lineage: Bacteria; Pseudomonadati; Pseudomonadota; Gammaproteobacteria; Enterobacterales; Enterobacteriaceae
Description: bacterial SSU rRNA
Rfam family: Bacterial small subunit ribosomal RNA
Source: RNAcentral
GAGUAAUGUCUGGGAAACUGCCUGAUGGAGGGGGAUAACUACUGGAAACGGUAGCUAAUACCGCAUAACGUCGCAAGACCAAAGAGGGGGACCUUCGGGCCUCUUGCCAUCGGAUGUGCCCAGAUGGGAUUAGCUAGUAGGUGGGGUAACGGCUCACCUAGGCGACGAUCCCUAGCUGGUCUGAGAGGAUGACCAGCCACACUGGAACUGAGACACGGUCCAGACUCCUACGGGAGGCAGCAGUGGGGAAUAUUGCACAAUGGGCGCAAGCCUGAUGCAGCCAUGCCGCGUGUAUGAAGAAGGCCUUCGGGUUGUAAAGUACUUUCAGCGGGGAGGAAGGGAGU